AUGGGCGCAAGCAUGAUCCAGCCAUACCGCGUGGGUGAAGAAGGCCUUCGGGUUGUAAAGCCCUUUUGUUGGGAAAGAAAUCCAGCUGGCUAAUACCCGGUUGGGAUGACGGUACCCAAAGAAUAAGCACCGGCUAACUUCGUGCCAGCAGCCGCGGUAAUACGAAGGGUGCAAGCGUUACUCGGAAUUACUGGGCGUAAAGCGUGCGUAGGUGGUCGUUUAAGUCCGUUGUGAAAGCCCUGGGCUCAACCUGGGAACUGCAGUGGAUACUGGACGACUAGAGUGUGGUAGAGGGUAGCGGAAUUCCUGGUGUAGCAGUGAAAUGCGUAGAGAUCAGGAGGAACAUCCAUGGCGAAGGCAGCUACCUGGACCAACACUGACACUGAGGCACGAAAGCGUGGGGAGCAAACAGGAUUAGAUACCCUGGUAGUCCACGCCCUAAACGAUGCGAACUGGAUGUUGGGUGCAAUUUGGCACGCAGUAUCGAAGCUAACGCGUUAAGUUCGCCGCCUGGGGAGUACGGUCGCAAGACUGAAACUCAAAGGAAUUGACGGC
RNAcentral lists this ribosomal RNA (555 nucleotides) under uncultured bacterium. RNAcentral's name for it is "bacterial SSU rRNA". It matches the Rfam family "Bacterial small subunit ribosomal RNA", at positions 371 to 917 of the family's 1533-position model. The record is from RNAcentral.